Molecule: ribosomal RNA, 577 nt
Filed under: Kurtzmaniella quercitrusa
Lineage: Eukaryota; Fungi; Ascomycota; Pichiomycetes; Serinales; Debaryomycetaceae
Description: partial large subunit ribosomal RNA
Rfam family: Eukaryotic large subunit ribosomal RNA
Source: RNAcentral
GGAAAAGGAACCAACAGGGAUUGCCUUAGUAACGGCGAGUGAAGCGGCAAAAGCUCAAAUUUGAAAUCUGGCACUUUCAGUGUCCGAGUUGUAAUUUGAAGAAGGUAACUUUGGAGUUGGCCCUUGUCUAUGUUCCUUGGAACAGGACGUCACAGAGGGUGAGAAUCCCGUGCGAUGAGGUGUCCAAUUCUAUGUAAAGUGCUUUCGAAGAGUCGAGUUGUUUGGGAAUGCAGCUCUAAGUGGGUGGUAAAUUCCAUCUAAAGCUAAAUAUUGGCGAGAGACCGAUAGCGAACAAGUACAGUGAUGGAAAGAUGAAAAGAACUUUGAAAAGAGAGUGAAAAAGUACGUGAAAUUGUUGAAAGGGAAGGGCUUGAGAUCAGACUCGGUAUUUUGCAAGCCUAUCCUUCGUGGAGAGGUUUAUUAGCAGCUUACCGGGCCAGCAUCGGUUUGGAUGGUAGGAUAAUGGCAUUGGAAUGUGGCUCUUCGGAGUGUUAUAGCCUUUGUUGAUACUGCCUAUCUAGACCGAGGACUGCGGUCUUUGACUAGGAUGCUGGCGUAAUGAUCUUAAGCCGCCCGC